UACAGAGGUCCCAAGCGUUGUUCGGAUUCACUGGGCGUAAAGGGUGCGUAGGUGGUUGGGUAAGUCUGAUGUGAAAUCUCCGGGCUCAACCCGGAAAUGGCAUUGGAUACUAUUCGGCUAGAGGUUUGGAGGGGGGACUGGAAUUCUCGGUGUAGCAGUGAAAUGCGUAGAUAUCGAGAGGAACACCAGUGGCGAAGGCGAGUCCCUGGACAACUCCUGACGCUGAGGCACGAAAGCUAGGGGAGCAAACAGG
This 253-nucleotide ribosomal RNA is filed under the name uncultured bacterium. Its description in RNAcentral is "partial 16S ribosomal RNA". It matches the Rfam family "Bacterial small subunit ribosomal RNA", at positions 524 to 776 of the family's 1533-position model. The record is from RNAcentral.